Dromaius novaehollandiae (emu) is the source of this 7322-nucleotide long non-coding RNA. RefSeq lists it as uncharacterized. The record is from RefSeq and is a predicted model, not a curated record. Lineage: Eukaryota; Metazoa; Chordata; Aves; Casuariiformes; Dromaiidae. The transcript is spliced from 3 exons.
CACCAGGGUUUCCUGCUACUGCAACUGCUGGUCAGCAAUAAAACACUCACCGUUUGAGAGAGCCAGCAAGCCUGGAAAUGCUGUAUCAUCUAACCCUUCCCAGAACAAGGCUGCGUAACACAGCACCUAAAAACUCUCCUGCCUAGCAAAUGCUCGUACUGGUGCCCUCAUCUGCUAUAAGUCCUCAGCUAGGUGGAAAAGCAGCAGCAAAAGAGUGGAAUUUCUGCAAAGUUCAGGUAACGGAGACUGGGCCAGAGGCAAGAAGAGAGGCCAGCCUGCUUUUCAGGUCUCACGUGUGACAUGAACGGCCUUAACUCUGCAGUUAACUCUAUCUGUUUGGCAAGCUCCUCCAGGAAAAACUAGGGAAUUAAAAAAAAAAAAUCAUCCUUUAAGAUAACGCAGGAUGUGUAACCGGCGUAUCCAAACCUCACUGCACGAAGCACACUGCCGUCUCAUGACCCCGGUCAAGCGCUCCGCUGACCAAGUGACUCCCGUUGGCUCAGUUGCCAUGACCAGGGAAAUCAGGAAAGUGCCAUCCCUAGCGGAGCGGUUGGGGAGACCUGGAAAACGCCGCGUUUUUGCGGCACGGUGCGCAGAAGGCGCCUAAACCCCCCGAAGAGACAACUCCGCCCGGCCGGACAGCAGGUUAGUCUGUUACUUGCUGUGUGGUCAGAAAGGACAUGUCCACUGGUAACUUUUGGAGAGUUACCAGAAACAAGAUUGUUGCAGUAACAAGGAAAAUUGCACCUGUACAUAAUUAGAAAAAGUAUGAACUGAAACUUUCCUCAUCAUUGAAUCAAGUUUCACUCCAGGACUGAUGAACAGGCAGUGAGUGGAAAAGCAGCCGUACCAGGACUAUCCGACUCCGCUUCGGAGACAGAGACCGGGUAGGAAAAAAAGCCUCUGUACAGCACGAUCCUCCUGCUGUUGUAUCUUCCCAGCCUCCAGCAUGUAAAGACUGAAGUACCUGUCAAUUAGCCUGUCAGGCUCAUUUUAGCAAUGAUGCCAACUGCUCCAUGGCAAGCGGUUGGCUGCCUCCAAGUCUCGGAAGGACACGUGCUACCUUUGCUCCUGAAAGGAUGCUGUGAACGCAAGGCAAGGUGAGGGUGUCCAAACUGCCAGCCUGCUGGUCCUGCCCUGGCCAAAGUGCCAUCCCCGCUGAGGAGUGGAGGGGACAGACCUGGGCUGGUGGGUGCUCCCCGAAGGGAGGCACGCAGGGUGCUGUGUGCGUGGGCGUUGCGCUUCCAGCCUCAGCGUGCCGGGCGUGGGAGCAGCUCGGCGUGGGCACAGGAAUCUGCGAGCUGCCUUGCUCCUGCCUCCAGAUCCCCUCUUCGCUUCCACUCCUCGUGAUCAGAUUAUCAGCGACAUGGGAAGGAAACGCUCAGUUGCGUGCACCCGCUGCAUGAGUACGGUACUGCUGCGUGAGUCCAACGUCACUCAAGAGAUGUUAGUCUCCCUAGGGAAACCGAGGCAGUGGGGUGGCAACGAAGUGGCCCCAAGUCCCAGACAACCCAUAACACGUCCCAGACAACCCAGUAACUGUGGCUGCAAUGUGCACUGCCAGCCAGACACCCUUCAUUGUGUUUUGACGAAGUGCUGGCCGACCAGACGUACGUUCCUGUUCUCCCUCAUGGUCAUACGCCCGCGUCCCUCAGCAUCUGGCAGAGGAGCUGUCCUGUAUCAGCGUUACCCGCGUGCUGCUUGGCCUCUGAGUUUAGCCUCACCAUGGGCAGAAACAGGAGAUAUAGCAAGGAGCAGGCCCAGAAGGGAAAUGAAAGCACUUAGAAGAGUAAAGCCCAUUGCAUUCAAUAUUUUAUCAGGCUUCCACUUCCCUUCUUUAAUGUAAUAUUAGGAGAUGGGAAGCAUUGUUUAACAUUUAUGCAGAAAGGACUCUACAUGUGUGGAUACCAAAGGGAAAGAAAAGUCACCCACAAGCCGUGGAGGGACUGGCAGAUGUGAGCAGAAACGAACCAAGGAAAAGCAAAAACUCCCUCAAAGUAUUGUGUUUCUCUUGCCGUUGCUUAUUUUACUGAAGAGGAGUUUGAAGUUCUCCAUUUCCUGGGUGUGUUACAGGAGCAGCAGAGUCCAGACACAUGCUUUUAAUGAAGCUUAUGUAAAUUUGUGUAUGUUUAUAUUUAGCAAAACAGAUUUAGGAGCACUAAUAAAGCAGCAGGCGAGGCGUAGAAAAGAGCUGGUGCAGAGUUUUCUGCCACUGUUAUUUUUUAGCUUCCUCCCACCAUUCCCAAAGACAAGAGUCUGUUUCGCUUGCCAGUUUCCCUUCAAAACAAAUGAUUUUGAAAACUCUUUUAUUGCUAAAUGCUGCUGAGACAAAUCACAGAGUUGUAGCUCUAUUGCACCAUGUCCCCAUUCUUUUUCUGUGAGCAAGCAGGGGCAAUUCGGUGCAUAUUUAGUUUCCUUUAACAUAGACACUCACAUUUGGUCAGCUAAAAAUUUCGCGACUCCACCAACAAACCUCGGUUCAGUAAGUUGGGAGCUUUGAGACAGGCCGAAGAAAGGACAGGCUUGCAGGGUGGAUGAUGAGGGCACAGGACAUGCCUCAGCCCAGGGAAAGCAGACGGAGGAGGAUGUUGAACCUGGCAUGGCCUGCUGAUGGAUGGUGACUGGUCCUGUGCUUGCAGCUGCAGUGCAGGAGCAGGGGCCAGUGGCCAAGCGCGGUGACCAUCAUCCCUUCUGGAGCCCUGCCCAUCCCUGAAAAAGCAGCAGGGUCUAUGUCUGAAGUCCACGAUGGAAGAAUAUGUAGAAAGGCAGGAAAAUUCAUGGGUGCCAGGAGAGAACAAGGAGUGUGGCUGGCCUCUAGGUCCUCUCCUAUCACAUGGGAAAGCUGGCUGAUUAAGCAUGGUCAUUAACCCAAAACCAUUGCCUCCUGUCCAUUAGGAUACGAUUGCAAUCCAGAGGUAUGGUGCUGAGAGGUGUAUUGAUUUACAGAGCGAGUGUGCUUGGACUGGGAUUGAUGAAGGAGGAAAGAAGUGAGACCCUACACCCUGCAUGGACCUGUGUGGGGUUGAGUCCCACCUGCAUCCCAGAAACACCAUCAGAAAGGUGAGCGGGGCAUCGUGGCGAUGGAGGGUUUCUACCCUGCCUUUUAUCUGCACCAGUCAAGGCCUCCACAGCUACAUUUGGCUCUGCUUAGACAUCUCCUACAGUUGACAGAUGGGGAAAGCCAAAGAACAGAUAUAAGCUACUCAGCAAGUCAUCGGCAGAAGAUGCUUGAGAACCCCAUCUCUCCAGACACCCUGUCCCACCUUCUUUAAAAUAUUUCCUAUUCACCCCAGUCGUGUUUUUAUUAAAAAGAGAGCCAGAUUUAGGGCUGGUCACCAUUCUGCAUUGAUGCGGCGGUCACCCUAGAUGCACCUCAGAUGUCCCCACAAUCUGUUGAGCGUGGGGUGGCGAGUCCCAGUGAGUCCGGCGUGGGACUGUGCUGGCAAUGUGCCUGAGACAGCGCGAUCGUCUCAGGCUAUUCCCUGUUGGAUCUGCAUCACGGAGCCAUCGAGCCCUCUCGGUGGCACCACCGGGACAGGGUUUCCAAGGAGGGAAAGGUGGUCCCAGGAGGGGCAAGACCUCUGGGUGAUAGCAGUGAAGGGGAUGGCGAGGGGAGAGGCUGGUGGGCCAUGUCCCCCCACCCCGGUGGCUCCCACAUCCUUGCCCCCAGAUGCGAAGCAGGCAUCAUCUCCUGCUGCAUCCCACUAUAGGCUUUGCUAUGGAGAAGGAAUGGAGACUACAGAUAUUUUGAGCAAACCUUUCCUUAUCAGAAAAGACCAGAAGUCCUUCGUACACAUGGGGGGAUUCAUGCUGAACACAGCUACCAGGUUUGAGAUGGGACAUCCCCCUCUCCCCCCACAAAUAUCCCUCCCUCAAAAAAAAAAAAAAAAGAAACAAAGCAAUACAGUUCAGCUGGACAUAACAAAAGAGCAACAGCAAACUAUUUUCUGUCUGCAUCUUACAUCAUUGCAAGGCCAAAUUCCUGCCAAACAGAUAGAUAGCCAACAGAUGGGGGUCUAACUUAACUUCUUGUCUGCAUGAUUUAGGAGGCUGCGGACACACUGCGUGAGAAAAACACAGCCACUUUCCUUGAACUCAGUCUAAACUAGCCACAAGGUCUCAAGUUUUCCUCAAGGAUCCCAUUCCUACCACACAAAGAGAGUCCUGAAAAAUCAUGAAAAAAGACCUAUAUAUUGGCAAGCACACAUGGUUUUUUUUUUUCAGGCACCUACCAUCUGUUUUACCAACAUCCCCUUUAAUGCAGGGAAAAGGCUCGCAGAAGGUCUGUGUUAGUAAAUCACCAGUGUGAAGCUGAGCAUUAUAUCCAGAUUUUGGCUGUAAGGUUCUGACACAAGGAGCGAGGAAAUGUGAUACCCCAAGAUCCAUUAAUUAGGCAGGCAUGCCGAUCAGGGAGUUCUGUUCCUGGCAUAGCUUUGCAUCCCGCCAUAGCUGUUGGCUGCACCUGAGACUAUCUCCUCUCAGCGAGGACGUCAGAGGCCCAGCUCAGUGCUACAGAAGUGGCCCGUUAAUGGCUGUAGCUGGUCACCUCCACUUUGCCUCUGUUUGCAUCCAGCUCAUUUGGAGCAGCCCAUGGUCCAGCUGGAUCAGUCACUCUGAUGGGGCUGUGUGACAUGCAGAAACCCUAGAAAAACAGCCACAAGCAACUUCACCGCGUCUGCCAUGCCACGAACACGUUGGAUUCAUGGUAUUUGAAGGCAUCCCAUUGGAUUCAUGGUAUUUGAAGGCAUCCCAAUUCCCGAUCAGUGUUUUCCUGGGGAGAAAGGGACAGCCCAAAAGAGCCAUUUGGGUGGGCAUCUGGAAGGCAGGCCUUGGACACUGGAGGCUUCUCGCUUAGUCAAAAAUGUCUUUGGAAGAAGUUGGCUUUUCCAAACCACUGGCGUUCAGAUGUAUUCUCACAUGCCUCAGUGAUCCCAUUGCACGUGGUGGCACAGGGGUAGGAAACCAGAAACCUCUCAUGACUGACAGAUUCACAGCAUUUUGGCUAAAUGCUGAACCUCACUUGAAUUUUCAGCUGCAGCUUCUUUUCUCUUCAACACGAAGUGAAUCGAAAUAUUCCCAAUUUAAGGUGCUGGAAAAGAACUGCUCAUUCCAGAUAACAGCAGUACUGCUUUAGGAGGUUUAGUCACGUGAAAAAAAAAAAGACCACAGCCAAAGACCAACUGAAAAGCUGGAAACACAGCCUGAACCAGCCUGCCUGAGAGCUGCAUCUGCCCCCUUCCUUAGUGUUUGGCACCUCCAACCCAAGGAAGCUGGGCAUUACGACCACAGACCAGACGCACAAAGUUAAUGCUACAUAAAAGAUGUAAGACAGCAAGAGAUAAGCCAGGCUGAAGCUCUCCCUGUAGAUAUUUCACCCGAGCUUUUGCAAAAUUACAAGCAUGAGCAGGCGUUAUCUGGGACAACGUGUGAUUAGCAGUAAGAAAAGGCAAGAGGGACUCAGCACAGCCGGCAGCUACGGCUGGUCUCGCAGCGGCUCAGGGCUAACCUUGUGCCUGCCAAAUUAGAGGGGCUGCUUCAGAAAGGCACCCUGCAAAAACACCCUGGUAGCUCCAGAGUCACAGGGGAUGCUGUUGAGAAAAGAGACAUUUUCCUGCUCUUCUGUCACUCAUCAGCCUCUGGACAAGUUGAUUAGCUUAGUAAUUGCUGGCCAGGCAUCAAUGUGAUGCUCGUUUACCAACAUACACCUCUGCAGCUGAUGGCUAGAUAAAACCCUGCCUGGUGUCCUUUGCUAGCCGGUUGUGCUGGUUGAGAAGGGAAGGAGCUGGGGGAACUGCGGAGUGCAUGGACCAGAGGAUGGUAUGUAUGAUUGCAUCCGGCUCCUAGCAUGUUGGCGAGACCUGCUAAUCCAAGUUUACAUUUUAAACAGAGAAUAGGAACUUCCAGGCAAGAGGAUUUAUAUGCAAGGACUUAACAGUUAAAUUUAUUCAUGGCUAAACUGAGGAGCCGGGAGUUAUUAAGGCAUGAAAUUGUGCCAGUCAAUUAAAGUGUCAAUCACAGCCAGCCUCAUUUAGAAUAGCUGCUUUAAUCCCAAGAAAGGAACAUUUUUUUGGCCUAGUGAGAGAGCACAUUGACUUGAAGCUGGUUUUAGUGAAAUAGCUGUUCCUCGGUUACUGUUCAAAGAUUUGCCAACUUUCUUUUUUUUUCCUGCCACGCUCCUGCUAUCAUUCCAAGGUGACAUGUGCUAGGCUCAAGUAGAGACAGAUGGAAUUUGAGCUGGAGAUGGGGUAACCUUAGUGGGCUACACAGCAAACAGGAAAAAAAAUCAUACGAAAACUAAUCAAAGAGGCAUUUAAACUGGCAAAUAUCAGGGCUUUGGGAUGCCUUUUGCUUUUAAGCAUAUAACAGGUUCUUAUUUUUCUUAAACUCAGCAAUUAGAUUAUUCUGCUUGUCAGUACAUGCAACAUGUGUUUAUUUUAUUUGCUCUUAAAACCUGCUUUUUUUCUCUCUCUCUCUCUUGGCUUAAAUCCCAGACUGUUGACUGCAUUAGUGAUAUGUUUUAGCGAAUGAUGACUGUCCUUUGGCCCUAAGUAAAGUACAGCUAAAUAGAGCAAGUCACAUACCUGAUUGUAAUGAAUGUUUGGUUAGGAGAAAUAUCUCCCAGGGGUAAUUUACUUCGGAGAUGAAUCUGGGCCUAGGUACUCAAUAUGAUCUCUUAUUCCCUGUCCACCAAAGCUCAUGACAGAGACAAAAAACAGUCUUGGGGUAGAGGGGCAACAGGAGCUCAGGGAGCCAACUGACAUGGCCAAGCUUGUGCUGUCAGUCAUGGAGCCUGAUAGGGAGCCCAGGUGUCCUUCCAAUUUGUACACUUCAUUCCUAUUGGUGGCAAGUAGCAGGUAUUUUACUCAAGCUGGAAGUAUUUUAGAGGUGGAGGCUGCUUUGGAAGCUGUUUCCAGUAACGAAGCAAUGGGAUUAGAGUCAGCAAGGUUGGUGGGAAGGAAGAGGUGGUGGCUGACCUUCCAUUUGUGCUCCCAUUUGCUUAAUUUCAUAGCAUACAUAGGACGUUAAGACCUUUCCUGGAGGUGCUUUGUGCAGGGAGGAAGACGGUUUCCUGGUCUCCCACAGGACGCGUGCAGCAAGCUUUUCUCCUCCGGGAUCUUUCCUGUGCUGGGUGCAUGCAGGUGCUGAUGCCACACUGCAGGACACACAACAUGCAUGUGCGCACCCACAGAGACUCUCAGGGGCCGGUUAUUAAAACAUCACUGACUGCAGGACAGCCCUCACGUUGUUCUGGAUCCUCUGAAGAUCACAGAAAUUGUGUGUGUGUAUUUAAGAAUAUAUAAAUAUACAUAUGUGUACCCGAA